GGCCAGACUCCUACGGGAGGCAGCAGUGGGGAAUAUUGCACAAUGGGGGGAACCCUGAUGCAGCGACGCCGCGUGGGCGAGGAAGUAUUUCGGUAUGUAAAGCCCUAUCGGCAGGGAAGAAGAAAUGACGGUACCUGAAUAAGAAGCACCGGCUAAAUACGUGCCAGCAGCCGCGGUAAUACGUAUGGUGCAAGCGUUAUCCGGAUUUACUGGGUGUAAAGGGCGUGCAGCCGGGCUGACAAGUCAGAUGUGAAAUCCCGCGGCUCAACCGCGGAACUGCAUUUGAAACUGUCAGUCUUGAGUACCGGAGAGGUCAUCGGAAUUCCUUGUGUAGCGGUGAAAUGCGUAGAUAUAAGGAAGAACACCAGUGGCGAAGGCGGAUGACUGGACGGCAACUGACGGUGAGGCGCGAAAGCGUGGGGAGCAAACAGGAUUAGAUACCCUGGUA
RNAcentral lists this ribosomal RNA (448 nucleotides) under uncultured bacterium. Its description in RNAcentral is "partial 16S ribosomal RNA". It matches the Rfam family "Bacterial small subunit ribosomal RNA", at positions 329 to 792 of the family's 1533-position model. The record is from RNAcentral.